RNAcentral lists this ribosomal RNA (447 nucleotides) under uncultured bacterium. Its description in RNAcentral is "bacterial SSU rRNA". It matches the Rfam family "Bacterial small subunit ribosomal RNA", at positions 328 to 792 of the family's 1533-position model. The record is from RNAcentral.
CGACCAGACUCCUACGGGAGGCAGCAGUGGGGGAUAUUGCACAAUGGGGGAAACCCUGAUGCAGCGACGCCGCGUGAGUGAGGAAGUAUUUCGGUAUGUAAAGCUCUAUCAGCAGGGAAGAAAAUGACGGUACCUGACUAAGAAGCCCCGGCUAACUACGUGCCAGCAGCCGCGGUAAUACGUAGGGGGCAAGCGUUAUCCGGAUUUACUGGGUGUAAAGGGGGCGCAGACGGCGAUGCAAGCCAGGAGUGAAAGCCCGGGGCCCAACCCCGGGACUGCUCUUGGAACUGCGUGGCUGGAGUGCAGGAGGGGCAGGCGGAAUUCCUGGUGUAGCGGUGAAAUGCGUAGAUAUCAGGAGGAACACCGGUGGCGAAGGCGGCUUACUGGAUGGCAACUGACGCUGAGGCUCGAAAGCGUGGGGAGCAAACAGGAUUAGAUACCCCUGUA